UCCCUGUUGGCUCAGACAGUAAAGCAUCUACCUGCAAUGUGGGAGACCUGGGUUCGAUCCCUGGGUCGGGAA
RNAcentral lists this transfer RNA (72 nucleotides) under Bos taurus (domestic cattle). It matches the Rfam family "tRNA". Rfam says of the family: Transfer RNA (tRNA) molecules are approximately 80 nucleotides in length. Lineage: Eukaryota; Metazoa; Chordata; Mammalia; Artiodactyla; Bovidae. The record is from Rfam by way of RNAcentral. RNAcentral also lists the same sequence under 2 other names.